Molecule: ribosomal RNA, 497 nt
Filed under: uncultured bacterium
Lineage: Bacteria
Description: partial 16S ribosomal RNA
Rfam family: Bacterial small subunit ribosomal RNA
Source: RNAcentral
GAUGAACGCUGGCGGCGUGCCUAAUACAUGCCAGUCGAGCGAACGGACGAGAAGCUUGCUUCUCUGAUGUUAGCGGCGGACGGGUGAGUAACACGUGGAUAACCUACCUAUAAGACUGGGAUAACUUCGGGAAACCGUAGCUAAUACCGGAUAAUAUUUUGAACCGCAUGGUUCAAAAGUGAAAGACGGUCUUGCUGUCACUUAUAGAUGGAUCCGCGCUUCAUUAGCUAGUUGGUAAGGUAACGGCUUACCAAGGCAACGAUGCAUAGCCGACCUGAGAGGGUGAUCGGCCACACUGGAACUGAGACACGGUCCAGCCUCCUACGGGAGGCAGCAGUAGGGAAUCUUCCGCAAUGGGCGAAAGCCUGACGGAGCAACGCCGCGUGAGUGAUGAAGGUCUUCGGAUCGUAAAACUCUGUUAUUAGGGAAGAACAUAUGUGUAAGUAACUGUGCACAUCUUGACGGUACCUAAUCAGAAAGCCACGGCUAACUACGUG